This 2511-nucleotide ribosomal RNA is filed under the name Herbaspirillum seropedicae. RNAcentral's name for it is "23S ribosomal RNA". It matches the Rfam family "Bacterial large subunit ribosomal RNA". Lineage: Bacteria; Pseudomonadati; Pseudomonadota; Betaproteobacteria; Burkholderiales; Oxalobacteraceae. The record is from RNAcentral.
GUUAUAGGAACAAGCGAAUAAGUGCACAUGGUGGAUGCCUUGGCGAUUACAGGCGAUGAAGGACGUAGUAGCUUGCGAUAAGCUGCGGGGAGCUGGCAAACAAGCUUUGAUCCGCAGAUUUCCGAAUGGGGAAACCCGGCCGUAAGGUCAUCGUUAUCUGAAUACAUAGGGUAACGAAGCGAACGUGGCGAACUGAAACAUCUAAGUAGCUACAGGAAAAGAAAUCAACCGAGAUUCCCAAAGUAGUGGCGAGCGAAAUGGGAUCAGCCUGCAAGAUUUAGCAUCAACGAUAGCAAAACGGAAUGGAAAGUCCGGCCAUAGUGGGUGAUAGCCCCGUAUGCGAAAUCGAUGGUGUGGAACUAGGCUUGCGACAAGUAGGGCGGGACACGUGAAAUCCUGUCUGAACAUGGGGGGACCAUCCUCCAAGGCUAAAUACUCGUAAUCGACCGAUAGUGAACCAGUACCGUGAGGGAAAGGCGAAAAGAACCUGUUAUGGCUAGGGGGUCAUCGCGACUUACCAAACCAUUGCAAACUCCGAAUACCGAUGAGUGCGAGCUUGGGAGACAGACGCCGGGUGCUAACGUCCGACGUCAAGAGGGAAACAACCCAGACCGCCAGCUAAGGUCCCAAAGAUUGGCUAAGUGGAAAACGAAGUGGGAAGGCUAAAACAGUCAGGAGGUUGGCUUAGAAGCAGCCAUCCUUUAAAGAAAGCGUAAUAGCUCACUGAUCGAGUCGUCCUGCGCGGAAGAUGUAACGGGGCUAAGCCAGUCACCGAAGCUGCGGAUAUCCGUAAGGAUAUGGUAGGAGAGCGUUCUGUAAGCCUGUGAAGGUGUCUUGUAAAGGAUGCUGGAGGUAUCAGAAGUGCGAAUGCUGACAUGAGUAGCGAUAAUGCGGGUGAAAAGCCCGCACGCCGUAAGCCCAAGGUUUCCUGUUCAACGUUCAUCGGAGCAGGGUGAGUCGGCCCCUAAGGCGAGGCAGAGAUGCGUAGCUGAUGGGAAGCAGGUUAAUAUUCCUGCACCGUCGUUAGAUGCGAUGGGGGGACGGAUCGCGGAAGGUUGUCCGGGUGUUGGAAGUCCCGGUUUUUGUAUCGAAGAAGGCUGUUAGGCAAAUCCGGCAGCGUAAUUCAAGGGUACGAGACGAGCGAACUUGUUCGCGAAGCAAUCGGAAGUGGUUCCAAGAAAAGCCUCUAAGCUUCAGUCUAACGAGACCGUACCGCAAACCGACACAGGUGGGCGAGAUGAGUAUUCUAAGGCGCUUGAGAGAACUCGGGAGAAGGAACUCGGCAAAUUGGUACCGUAACUUCGGGAUAAGGUACGCCCAAGUAGUUUGACUGGCCUGCGCCAGAAGGACAAAAGGGUUGCAAUAAAAUGGUGGCUGCGACUGUUUAAUAAAAACACAGCACUCUGCAAACACGAAAGUGGACGUAUAGGGUGUGACGCCUGCCCGGUGCUGGAAGAUUAAAUGAUGGGGUGCAAGCUCUUGAUUGAAGUCCCAGUAAACGGCGGCCGUAACUAUAACGGUCCUAAGGUAGCGAAAUUCCUUGUCGGGUAAGUUCCGACCUGCACGAAUGGCGUAACGAUGGCCACACUGUCUCCUCCCGAGACUCAGCGAAGUUGAAAUGUUUGUGAUGAUGCAAUCUACCCGCGGCUAGACGGAAAGACCCCAUGAACCUUUACUGUAGCUUUGCAUUGGACUUUGAACCAAUCUGUGUAGGAUAGGUGGGAGGCUUUGAAGUAGGGACGCUAGUCUCUAUGGAGCCGACCUUGAAAUACCACCCUGGUUUGUUUGAGGUUCUAACCUUGGUCCGUUAUCCGGAUCGGGGACAGUGCAUGGUAGGCAGUUUGACUGGGGCGGUCUCCUCCCAAAGUGUAACGGAGGAGUUCGAAGGUACGCUAGGUACGGUCGGACAUCGUGCUAAUAGUGCAAUGGCAUAAGCGUGCUUAACUGCGAGACUGACAAGUCGAGCAGGUACGAAAGUAGGACAUAGUGAUCCGGUGGUUCUGUAUGGAAGGGCCAUCGCUCAACGGAUAAAAGGUACUCUGGGGAUAACAGGCUGAUUCCUCCCAAGAGUUCAUAUCGACGGGGGAGUUUGGCACCUCGAUGUCGGCUCAUCACAUCCUGGGGCUGUAGCCGGUCCCAAGGGUAUGGCUGUUCGCCAUUUAAAGUGGUACGUGAGCUGGGUUUAAAACGUCGUGAGACAGUUUGGUCCCUAUCUGCCGUGGGCGUUGGAAGUUUGAAGGGGGCUGCUCCUAGUACGAGAGGACCGGAGUGGACGAACCUCUGGUGUAUCGGUUGUCACGCCAGUGGCAUUGCCGAGUAGCUAAGUUCGGAAGAGAUAACCGCUGAAAGCAUCUAAGCGGGAAACUCGCCUUGAGAUGAGACUUCCCGGGAACUAGAUUCCCCUAAAGGGUCGUUCGAGACCAGGACGUUGAUAGGUCAGGUGUGGAAGCGCAGUAAUGCGUUAAGCUAACUGAUACUAAUUGCCCGUGCGGCUUGUUCCUAUAACAUUAG